Molecule: long non-coding RNA, 1370 nt
Filed under: Helianthus annuus (common sunflower)
Lineage: Eukaryota; Viridiplantae; Streptophyta; Magnoliopsida; Asterales; Asteraceae
Description: hypothetical non coding rna
Source: RNAcentral
UCCGGUGUCUCUAAACCCCGAAACAAUCCUACACAUGAAAUCUAGACCCCUUAAUUAUAAAACACACAACUCUAAACCCCGACAGUAACGACGACAUCAUCAAAAACAAAAACCCCGCAAAUCCUAAGGCCACAGCAAUGUCCGAUUGGACGCAAAACGAAUCACACGUAGCAACACCUCGAAGCUGCCUCGCCAUCUCCGUCCCCGUCGAGUCCGCCGACAGUAACAUAUACGCAAAAACCUACAUAUAACAGGUGUACGUCACAACGUGUGUGUAUGUCACUAUGUCAGAUACAAACAUUCUUUUAAAAUUUGAACAUAUGUUUACUAGAAAAUUAGCGCCAAUAAUGGUUGUGAGUUUUUGAAUUUUGCUAUGAUUUAAAAAAAGUCAGGAAAUAAAAUAAAGUUACAUGUAACAAGUGAAUGGGUCAUGAAAACGGAAACCUGAUCGUGGGCGAAAUCGAACCAGACUUGGUAGAAUUCAGGGAGAAUGGUGGAACCUCGAGAGAUCUCCCAAGCGGAUGCAACCAUUUCGAAUAACGAAUACAAAGCGACUAUCCCAUUUGCCGCUACAACAAAUCUGUAGAGUUUGUUAGCAUCAAUAACACUUUGGGGCGGAAUAGGGGUCAAGAGGGUCCGUUAACCCAGCAGUCACUAAAAUUUGUUUUGUUUUUCGUGUAUAAAAUUGUGAGUCAAUUUUUCAAAAAUAAGUCUGUCCUAUUAGUUUUUUUUUUUAAUGGCUUAGCGGAAAACACCCCUAAUGAAAUACCACCACCCUUAUAAUUAUUUACUCCUUUCUAAAAAGUAAAAAUUUUGGUUCCGCCACUACACAUGUUAAGUAAAUGAGGUUUACCUGAAGGCGCUGAAGUCGUACCAGCGAGGCGAACCGGACUUGGUGGCGAUCAUGAAAACCGCAGCGGAUAGGGAAAAGCAGAAGGCAGCGAGGCGAAAGAUGAAAAUGAAGCAAUUGAAACGGCGGAGCUUGCGUUCGGAGACAGUGGAGUGGAAGUGAGGUGUGUCAUGUGGAUGGGUCUGGUGGAUCCGGGGUCGAGGGGAGGGGCUCUCGACACCACCGUUACGGGUCAUCUUCGUCUUAAAAGUUUUAAACCUGAAUACUACGUGUGAGGUGUUGGAUCAUGAGAUCAGGUGGUGAGUAGAAUGAAUGAAUGAUUUAUAUAUUAUUCUUGUCUUGUGGGGAUCUAUCUAUCUAGUGUGUUAAAUGAUUCACGGGGGGAAGCAUGAUGUCCAUGGGGAACAUAAAAAAAUGGGAUGAUGUGAAAGAAAGAGGGGUGUGAACUGUGAAGCCUGAAGUCUGUGAAGAAAAAAGGAAGGAGAGGAUGAUGAUUGUCCAUGGAUGUUUCAUACCCUAA